GACGAACGCUGGCGGCGUGCUUAACACAUGCAAGUUGAACGGAAAGGCCCUGCUUUCGUGGGGUGCUCGAGUGGCGAACGGGUGAGUAACACGUGAGUACCCUCCCCUUGACUUUGGGAUAACUUCAGGAAACUGGGGCUAAUACCGGAUAGGAGCUCCUGCUGCAUGGUGGGGGUUGGACAGUUUCGGCGGUUGGGGAUGGACUCGCGGCUUAUCAGCUUGUUGGGGGGGUAGUGGCUUACCACGGCUUUGACGGGUAGCCGGCCCGAGUGGGUGACCGGGCACAUAAAGACAGGAAUAGGGCGUAGACCCCUGCGGGAGGCAGGAGUGGGGAAUAUUGAAGACUAGGAGGAAGACUGAUGCAGCAACGCCGAGCGGGGGAGGAGGGCGUGCGGGUUGGAAACAGCUGUAGCCGGUGACGGGGGGGGAGUAACGGUUAUAGGUAAAGAGGCGCCGGCGAGCUACGUG
This 468-nucleotide ribosomal RNA is filed under the name uncultured bacterium. Its description in RNAcentral is "partial 16S ribosomal RNA". It matches the Rfam family "Bacterial small subunit ribosomal RNA", at positions 28 to 507 of the family's 1533-position model. The record is from RNAcentral.